UACGGAGGGUGCAAGCGUUGCUCGGAAUUACUGGGCGUAAAGCGCGUGUAGGCGGUCUCGUGUGUCUGGCGUGAAAGCCCCGGGCUCACCCCGGGAAGUGCGUUGGAAACUGCGAGACUAGAGUUCCGGAGAGGAAGGUGGAAUUACAGGUGUAGCGGUGAAAUGCGUAGAUAUCUGGAAGAACACCGGUGGCGAAGGCGGCCUUCUGGACGGUGACUGACGCUGAGACACGAAAGCGUGGGGAGCAAACAUG
Molecule: ribosomal RNA, 253 nt
Filed under: uncultured bacterium
Lineage: Bacteria
Description: partial 16S ribosomal RNA
Rfam family: Bacterial small subunit ribosomal RNA
Source: RNAcentral